UCAGGCCUAACACAUGCAAGUCGAGCGCGCCUUCGGGUGAGCGGCGGACGGGUUAGUAACGCGUGGGAACGUGCCCUUCUCUACGGAAUAGCCUCUGGAAACGGAGAGUAAUACCGUAUACGCCCUUUGGGGGAAAGAUUUAUCGGAGAAGGAUCGGCCCGCGUUAGAUUAGGUAGUUGGUGGGGUAACGGCCUACCAAGCCUACGAUCUAUAGCUGGUUUUAGAGGAUGAUCAGCAACACUGGGACUGAGACACGGCCCAGACUCCUACGGGAGGCAGCAGUGGGGAAUCUUAGACAAUGGGGGCAACCCUGAUCUAGCCAUGCCGCGUGAGUGAUGAAGGCCUUAGGGUCGUAAAGCUCUUUCGCCUGUGAUGAUAAUGACAGUGGCAGGUAAAGAAACCCCGGCUAACUCCGUGCCAGCAGCCGCGGUAAUACGGAGGGGGUUAGCGUUGUUCGGAAUUACUGGGCGUAAAGCGCGCGUAGGCGGAUUAGAAAGUUGGGGGUGAAAUCCCGGGGCUCAACCUCGGAACUGCCUCCAAAACUGCUAGUCUAGAGUUCGAGAGAGGUGAGUGGAAUUCCGAGUGUAGAGGUGAAAUUCGUAGAUAUUCGGAGGAACACCAGUGGCGAAGGCGGCUCACUGGCUCGAUACUGACGCUGAGGUGCGAAAGUGUGGGGAGCAAACAGGAUUAGAUACCCUGG
This 700-nucleotide ribosomal RNA is filed under the name uncultured bacterium. RNAcentral's name for it is "bacterial SSU rRNA". It matches the Rfam family "Bacterial small subunit ribosomal RNA", at positions 42 to 790 of the family's 1533-position model. The record is from RNAcentral.